CGCAUUUCAGACCUUGGCUUUUUUGCUUUUCUCUUUCUACCUCCUUUCCACACCUGGGCCGGAGUGAAAGUGGUGGGACUGAAAAUAACUCGGAGCCGGUCCCAACUUCUAGAUCACCUCUUCCCGCCACUGCUGCUGUUCGCUCCUCGUGACGAUGCAGCUGUGCCCGAGUGACAGGAGAAACAUAAACACUCCUUCACCACGCCUGCCAUAGUCAACCUCCUUUUCAACGUCGCCUCCACCAACACCACCAUCUCCUUCACUGUGGUGCUGUCCAUGGUCAGCCUGGUGUCUCUCCUGGUGGGGGUCGGGGGUCCCCUCCUGUUGUGGCUGGUGCUGGUGAGGAACCCCCGCAGUCGCUCCAAGCCCAGCUCUAUGUUGCUUCAAUCUCAGCCUGGCGGACCUGGGCGCCCUGCUCACCCUGCCCUGC
Molecule: long non-coding RNA, 430 nt
Organism: Gasterosteus aculeatus aculeatus (three-spined stickleback)
Lineage: Eukaryota; Metazoa; Chordata; Actinopteri; Perciformes; Gasterosteidae
Source: Ensembl